Papaver somniferum (opium poppy) is the source of this 745-nucleotide long non-coding RNA. RefSeq lists it as uncharacterized. The record is from RefSeq and is a predicted model, not a curated record. The transcript is spliced from 3 exons. Lineage: Eukaryota; Viridiplantae; Streptophyta; Magnoliopsida; Ranunculales; Papaveraceae.
UAGAAACCCAAAACCCAAAUAUUAGAUUACUAAAAUAACCUCCCAUAUCCACCAUUAUUCUCUUCCGUAUUUUCAUUUCUCUCUUUCUCUCUCUUUCUCACCCCGGACGAACAACCGAAAACAAAUCAAAGCAGUCGAAGAGAACUGAAGAAAAACAGAACAAAACUUCGAAAUCAAACACCAAAUCGAUCAAAAAUUAGUAGAUUAAUACUAUUACAUGAUAUAGAAAUGAAAUCUGACCGAAACACCAAAAAAAAAAAACGAAGAAAAUUAAGUUUCAGAAAUCGAUUUACUAAGGACCUUCAACAACAACAUUUUGGAAAGACCAAAUCGAAGAAAUCAGAUGCUUCUGUUGGUGUUAGGAAAUCAGUAAAGCAUUGGCAGAGGUGAGUACUGAAGAAGGGACCAUUCAAGCACAAGAAACUAAUCAAGAAUGUGGUUGAUAGCCAUUACAGGGUUUUGGUGGUUCAGCUCUUGUAGGUUGAAAAUCUACUAACAUGUGAGAAAGAUGACAAAAAAAAAGUUGGUUGGUAAUAAGUACAUCUUUGUUAUGGGAGGAUGCUACAGUUCUUAAGCCAGACACGAUAGAUUCAUGAUAGGAGUCGCUUGUUAUUUCUAAUAUAUGGUAUUGCUUUUCAUAUUGAUGUAAUUGUACCUCCUAUAUAUAUGAUAGAUUGAUGAUGUUGGUCCCUUGAACUCUAGUUCUUCAACAAUUAAUCCAGUGUUCCACUUGAUGUUAUUUCUA